GCUACUACCGAUUGAAUGGUUUAGUGAGGACUCCUGAUUGGCGCCGCCGCCCCGGCAACGGAGCAGCGGACUGCCGAACAGUUGUUCAAACUUGAUCAUUUAGAGGAAGUAAAAGUCGUAACAAGGUUUCCGUAGGUGAACCUGCAGAAGGAUCAAGAUCGGCAGAGCACCGGUAUGAACUCCAGUUCCGUGUCCUAUUACCGUAUGCCGUCUGCUGCUUGAAUACACAAAC
This 232-nucleotide unclassified non-coding RNA is filed under the name sea anemone metagenome. RNAcentral describes it as "partial contains small subunit ribosomal RNA and internal transcribed spacer 1". The stretch from base 1 to 158 matches the Rfam family "Eukaryotic small subunit ribosomal RNA", at positions 1678 to 1831 of the family's 1831-position model. The record is from RNAcentral.